This 231-nucleotide ribosomal RNA is filed under the name Escherichia coli. RNAcentral describes it as "partial 23S ribosomal RNA". It matches the Rfam family "Bacterial large subunit ribosomal RNA", at positions 236 to 505 of the family's 2925-position model. The record is from RNAcentral. Lineage: Bacteria; Pseudomonadati; Pseudomonadota; Gammaproteobacteria; Enterobacterales; Enterobacteriaceae.
UCCCCCAGUAGCGGCGAGCGAACGGGGAGGAGCCCAGAGCCUGAAUCAGUGUGUGUGUUAGUGGAAGCGUCUGGAAAGGCGCGCGAUACAGGGUGACAGCCCCGUACACAAAAAUACACAUAUUGUGAGCUCGAUGAGUAGGGCGGGACACGUGGUAUCCUGUCUGAAUAUGGGGGGACCAUCCUCCAAGGCUAAAUACUCCUGACUGACCGAUAGUGAACCAGUACCGUG